RNAcentral lists this non-coding RNA (158 nucleotides) under bovine gut metagenome. The record is from RNAcentral.
AGGUGUUCGCGCCGACGCGCGAGAGAAUAGGGAACGGAGUGCGAAUCUCCGACAGGACCGCUGCUGUGAAGCUGAGCUUCCGUCUGUGGACCAUUGGCCGAAGGGCCGAGAAGGUGGACGGAAGCGAUGAAGCCAAGUCAGAAGACCUGCCUGUGAAG